RNAcentral lists this unclassified non-coding RNA (181 nucleotides) under uncultured Ophiocordyceps. RNAcentral's name for it is "sequence contains ITS1". The record is from RNAcentral. Lineage: Eukaryota; Fungi; Ascomycota; Sordariomycetes; Hypocreales; Ophiocordycipitaceae.
CCGAGUUAUACAACUCCCAAACCCACUGUGAACCUUACCUCAGUUGCCUCGGCGGGAACGCCCCGGCCGCCUGCCCCCGCGCCGGCGCCUGGGUCCGGCGCAGGGACCCCAAACUCUCUUGCAUUACGCCCAGCGGGCGGAAUUUCUUCUCUGAGUUGCACAAGCAAAAACAAAUGAAUCA